GAUCAACGCUGGCGGCGUGCCUAAUGCAUGCAAGUCGCACGGGCAGCCUUCGGGCGGUCAGUGGCGAACGGCUGAGGAACACGUACGAAUCUGCCCUCGGUGGGAAUAACGCACCGAGAGGUGUGCUAAUACCGCGUACGCGCGCAAGCGGAAAGCAGCGAUGCGCCGGGGGAGAGCGUGCGGCCCAUCAGAUCGUUGGCGGGGUAACGCCCACCAAGUCGAGACGGGUCGCUGGUCCGUGAGGACGAUCAGCCAGACUGGGGACUGCGACACGGCCCAGACACCGUACGGGUGGCAGCAGCAAGGGAUCUUCGGCACUGGGCGCAAGCCUGACCGAGCAACGCCGCGUGCAGGAUGAC
This 359-nucleotide ribosomal RNA is filed under the name uncultured bacterium. RNAcentral's name for it is "bacterial SSU rRNA". It matches the Rfam family "Bacterial small subunit ribosomal RNA", at positions 28 to 412 of the family's 1533-position model. The record is from RNAcentral.